UCCGGUGGCGAUGCGCUUAGGGGAAACACCCGUACCCAUCCCGAACACGAUGGUUAAGACUUAAGCGGCCGAUGGUACUAUGCUGGAGACGGCAUGGGAGAGCAGGUGG
Molecule: ribosomal RNA, 109 nt
Filed under: Enterocloster clostridioformis
Lineage: Bacteria; Bacillati; Bacillota; Clostridia; Lachnospirales; Lachnospiraceae
Source: RNAcentral